RNAcentral lists this ribosomal RNA (1346 nucleotides) under uncultured bacterium. RNAcentral's name for it is "partial 16S ribosomal RNA". It matches the Rfam family "Bacterial small subunit ribosomal RNA", at positions 28 to 1381 of the family's 1533-position model. The record is from RNAcentral.
GACGAACGCUGGCGGCGUGCUUAACACAUGCAAGUCGAACGGAAAGGCCCUGCUUUUGUGGGGUGCUCGAGUGGCGAACGGGUGAGUAACACGUGAGUAACCUGCCCUUGACUUUGGGAUAACUUCAGGAAACUGGGGCUAAUACCGGAUAGGAGCUCCUGCUGCAUGGUGGGGGUUGGAAAGUUUCGGCGGUUGGGGAUGGACUCGCGGCUUAUCAGCUUGUUGGUGGGGUAGUGGCUUACCAAGGCUUUGACGGGUAGCCGGCCUGAGAGGGUGACCGGCCACAUUGGGACUGAGAUACGGCCCAGACUCCUACGGGAGGCAGCAGUGGGGAAUAUUGCACAAUGGGCGGAAGCCUGAUGCAGCAACGCCGCGUGCGGGAUGACGGCCUUCGGGUUGUAAACCGCUUUCGCCUGUGACGAAGCGUGAGUGACGGUAAUGGGUAAAGAAGCACCGGCUAACUACGUGCCAGCAGCCGCGGUGAUACGUAGGGUGCGAGCGUUGUCCGGAUUUAUUGGGCGUAAAGGGCUCGUAGGUGGUUGAUCGCGUCGGAAGUGUAAUCUUGGGGCUUAACCCUGAGCGUGCUUUCGAUACGGGUUGACUUGAGGAAGGUAGGGGAGAAUGGAAUUCCUGGUGGAGCGGUGGAAUGCGCAGAUAUCAGGAGGAACACCAGUGGCGAAGGCGGUUCUCUGGGCCUUUCCUGACGCUGAGGAGCAAAAGCGUGGGGAGCGAACAGGCUUAGAUACCCUGGUAGUCCACGCUGUAAACGGUGGGUACUAGGUGUGGGGUCCAUUCCACGGGUUCCGUGCCGUAGCUAACGCUUUAAGUACCCCGCCUGGGGAGUACGGCCGCAAGGCUAAAACUCAAAGGAAUUGACGGGGCCCCGCACAAGCGGCGGAGCAUGCGGAUUAAUUCGAUGCAACGCGUAGAACCUUACCUGGGUUUGACAUGGAUCGGGAGUGCUCAGAGAUGGGUGUGCCUCUUUUGGGGUCGGUUCACAGGUGGUGCAUGGCUGUCGUCAGCUCGUGUCGUGAGAUGUUGGGUUAAGUCCCGCAACGAGCGCAACCCUUGUUCACUGUUGCCAGCACGUUAUGGUGGGGACUCAGUGGAGACCGCCGGGGUCAACUCGGAGGAAGGUGGGGAUGACGUCAAGUCAUCAUGCCCCUUAUGUCCAGGGCUUCACGCAUGCUACAAUGGCUGGUACAGAGAGUGGCGAGCCUGUGAGGGUGAGCGAAUCUCGGAAAGCCGGUCUCAGUUCGGAUUGGGGUCUGCAACUCGACCUCAUGAAGUCGGAGUCGCUAGUAAUCGCAGGUCAGCAACGCUGCGGUGAAUACGUUCCCGGGGCU